Phycodurus eques (leafy seadragon) is the source of this 172-nucleotide small nuclear RNA. RefSeq annotates it as U1 spliceosomal RNA. The record is from RefSeq and is a predicted model, not a curated record. Lineage: Eukaryota; Metazoa; Chordata; Actinopteri; Syngnathiformes; Syngnathidae. The transcript has a single exon.
UGACUUAGCGUGCGUGUGAAUGACUUGCGUGCUCGCGCCAAGAAGGUGGUUCUCCCAGGGUGAGGUCCAGCCAUUGUGCUCUGGUUGUGCUGACCCCUGCGAAUUCCCCAAAUGUGGGAAUCUCGACUGCAUAAUUUCUAGUAGUGGGGGACUGCGUUUGCGCUCUUCCCUG